This 490-nucleotide ribosomal RNA is filed under the name uncultured bacterium. RNAcentral's name for it is "partial 16S ribosomal RNA". It matches the Rfam family "Bacterial small subunit ribosomal RNA", at positions 30 to 507 of the family's 1533-position model. The record is from RNAcentral.
AUUGAACGCUGGCGGCAGGCCUAACACAUGCAAGUCGAACGGUAACAGGAAGCAGCUUGCUGCUUUGCUGACGAGUGGCGGACGGGUGAGUAAUGUCUGGGAAACUGCCUGAUGGAGGGGGAUAACUACUGGAAACGGUAGCUAAUACCGCAUAACGUCGCAAGACCAAAGAGGGGGACCUUCGGGCCUCUUGCCAUCGGAUGUGCCCAGAUGGGAUUAGCUAGUAGGUGGGGUAACGGCUCACCUAGUCGACGAUCCCUAGCUGGUCUGAGAGGAUGACCAGCCACACUGGAACUGAGACACGGUCCAGACUCCUACGGGAGGCAGCAGUGGGGAAUAUUGCACAAUGGGCGCAAGCCUGAUGCAGCCAUGCCGCGUGUAUGAAGAAGGCCUUCGGGUUGUAAAGUACUUUCAGCGGGGAGGAAGGGAGUAAAGUUAAUACCUUUGCUCAUUGACGUUACCCGCAGAAGAAGCACCGGCUAACUCCGUG